CCUACGGGAGGCAGCAGUGGGGAAUAUUGCGCAAUGGGCGAAAGCCUGACGCAGCGACGCCGCGUGCGGGAUGAAGGCCUUCGGGUUGUAAACCGCUGUCGGGAGGGACGAAUCAAUGACGGUACCUCCAAAGGAAGCACCGGCUAACUCUGUGCCAGCAGCCGCGGUAAUACAGAGGGUGCGAGCGUUGUCCGGAAUUACUGGGCGUAAAGGGCGCGUAGGCGGUUCGGUAAGUAGGGGGUGAAAUGCUGCGGCUCAACCGCAGCCCUGCCUUCUAAACUGCCGGACUUGAGCGUAACAGAGGCAGGUGGAAUUCCCGGUGUAGCGGUGGAAUGCGUAGAGAUCGGGAAGAACAUCGGUGGCGAAGGCGGCCUGCUGGGUUACUGCUGACGCUGAGGCGCGAUAGCGUGGGGAGCAAACAGGAUUAGAUACCCUGGUAGUCCACGCCGUAAACGA
RNAcentral lists this ribosomal RNA (456 nucleotides) under uncultured bacterium. RNAcentral describes it as "bacterial SSU rRNA". It matches the Rfam family "Bacterial small subunit ribosomal RNA", at positions 338 to 809 of the family's 1533-position model. The record is from RNAcentral.